CAAAUUUUUCGAGUUAAUUUCAGUUCUUUGAAAUCUGGCGUUACAGUAGGAAAUCAAGGACUACAGGUUCAUGUUUCAUAAUCAGUGGAAGGAAUAUAACUCACGAUCUAAACACUGGGAAUGUAAUGUAUCUAUGAAGUUGUACAGCGGAGCCACGUACUUGUCCAACAUGCUCAGGAAACAGUAAAAUCUCAAACAAGAAUGACUAAUCUGAAGCAUCACUGCGCUUUCUUCUUAGCAUCUUUGGCUUGCCCCUUCUUGCGGAUCUUGAUGCACAUUCCCAGGCGAAUGCUGUCAAUGAGUGACUCGGGGAGAAUGGAGAUCAGGAACCACAUUACAGAGUGUGGCCAGUACGGUGUGCACCUCGGCUCAUAGCCUAUGUGACGAAUGGCAGCACGGGCGUAGGUGUCCGCGGAUGGGACAAAGAACGAGGAUUUCCUGAUAGAGGCCAUCUUUGUUGCCACAUACAAGGGCACCUGGCAUUGCACAUCAAUACCCUUGCUCUUGUACUCAACAUAAAGGCAUCUUGAGAAUUGGUCAACCUCACGCUUUGGUGGCGGCGUAGACGGAGUAGAGCGGAUCGGACGGCAUGACGGAGGAGGAGCCGGAGCCGAUGUUGACGAUGGCGCCGCGCUUCCUCUCCACCAUGGCCGGGAGCACGGCGUGCGUGACCCGCGUGAGGCCCUCGACGUUGACCCGGAUCAGGGUGCGCAUGAGCUCCUCGUCCACCUCGUGGAGGUAGCGGGCGUACGGGUACGAGACACCGGCGUUGUUGACGAGCACGCCCACCUCGAGCCCACGGAUGGCCUCCCUGAGCCCCUCCACCCCGGCGGCGAGGCCGUCGGCGGCGAAGUCGAGCACGAACGUCCGCACCUCCACCCUGGGGUACCUCCCCCUGAUCUC
RNAcentral lists this small RNA (903 nucleotides) under Oryza sativa Japonica Group (Japanese rice). RNAcentral's name for it is "sRNA Os02g0597950". Lineage: Eukaryota; Viridiplantae; Streptophyta; Magnoliopsida; Poales; Poaceae. The record is from RNAcentral.